GACGAACGCUGGCGGCGUGCUUAACACAUGCAAGUCGAACGGAAAGGCCAUGCGUUUGUGGGGUGCACGAGUGGCGAACGGGUGAGUAACACGUGAGUAACCUGCACUUGAAUUAGGGAUAACUUCAGGAAAAUGGGGAUAAUACCGGGUAGGAGCUCCUGCUGCGUGGGGGGGGUUGGAAAGUUUCGGCGGUUGUGGAUGGACUCGCGGCUUAUCAGCUUGAUGGUGGGGUAGUGGCUGACAAAGGCUUUGACGGGUAGCCGGCCUUGGAGCGUGACCGGCCACAUGACGACUGCGGUACGCCCCAGACGCCUACGGUCGGCAGCAGGGGGGAACAUGGCGCAAUGGGCGGACGCCUGAUGCAGCAACGCCGCGAGCGUGAUGACCGCCUUCGGGUGGUAAACCGCUGUCUCCUGUACCGAAGCGGGCGUGACGGUAAUUGGUAAGGAAGCACCGGCUAACUACGUG
RNAcentral lists this ribosomal RNA (468 nucleotides) under uncultured bacterium. RNAcentral describes it as "partial 16S ribosomal RNA". It matches the Rfam family "Bacterial small subunit ribosomal RNA", at positions 28 to 507 of the family's 1533-position model. The record is from RNAcentral.